RNAcentral lists this ribosomal RNA (451 nucleotides) under uncultured Anaerolineaceae bacterium. Its description in RNAcentral is "bacterial SSU rRNA". It matches the Rfam family "Bacterial small subunit ribosomal RNA", at positions 919 to 1382 of the family's 1533-position model. Lineage: Bacteria; Bacillati; Chloroflexota; Anaerolineae; Anaerolineales; Anaerolineaceae. The record is from RNAcentral.
ACCCGCACAAGCGGUGGAUGAUGUGGUUUAAUUCGAUGCAACGCGAAAAACCUUACCCACCUUUGACAUGUACGGAACCCUUUAGAGAUAGAGGGGUGCUCGAAAGAGAGCCGUAACACAGGUGCUGCAUGGCUGUCGUCAGCUCGUGUCGUGAGAUGUUCGGUUAAGUCCGCUAACGAGCGCAACCCUCGCCGUAUGUUACAAGUGUCAUACGGGACUGCCGGUAAAAAGCCGGAGGAAGGUGAGGAUGAUGUCAAGUCAGCAUGACCUUUAUAUCCAGGGCUACACACACGCUACAAUGGUCUGUACAAUUGGUUGCCAAGCCGCGAGGCGGAGCCAAUCCGUAAAGCAGGCCUCAGUUCAGAUUGCAGUCUGCAACUCGACUGCAUGAAGCCGGAGUUGCUAGUAACCGCAGGUCAGCAAUACUGCGGUGAAUACGUUCCCGGGUCUU